This 49-nucleotide ribosomal RNA is filed under the name Anopheles dravidicus. Its description in RNAcentral is "partial 28S ribosomal RNA". Lineage: Eukaryota; Metazoa; Arthropoda; Insecta; Diptera; Culicidae. The record is from RNAcentral.
GCUCAAAGUAGGCCUCAAGUGAUGUGUGACUACCCCCUAAAUUUAAGCA